RNAcentral lists this small RNA (132 nucleotides) under Homo sapiens (human). RNAcentral describes it as "circular RNA". The record is from RNAcentral. Lineage: Eukaryota; Metazoa; Chordata; Mammalia; Primates; Hominidae.
AUUCAUCCGUGGUUUAUGGUGAUUGCAUUGCUGGGCGUCUGGACAUCUGUAGCUGUCGUUUGGUUUGAUCUUGUUGACUAUGAGGAAGUUCUAGGAAAACUAGGAAUCUAUGAUGCUGAUGGUGAUGGAGAA